This 468-nucleotide ribosomal RNA is filed under the name uncultured bacterium. Its description in RNAcentral is "partial 16S ribosomal RNA". It matches the Rfam family "Bacterial small subunit ribosomal RNA", at positions 28 to 507 of the family's 1533-position model. The record is from RNAcentral.
GACGAACGCUGGCGGCGUGCUUAACACAUGCAAGUCGAACGGAAAGGCCCUGCUUUUGUGGGGUGCUCGAGUGGCGAACGGGUGAGUAACACGUGAGUAACCUGCCCUUGACUUUGGGAUAACUUCAGGAAACUGGGGCUAAUACCGGAUAGGAGCUCCUGCUGCAUGGUGGGGGUUGGAAAGUUUCGGCGGUUGGGGAUGGACUCGCGGCUUAUCAGCUUGUUGGUGGGGUAGUGGCCUACCAAGGGUUUGACGGGUAGCCGGCCUGAGAGGGUGACCGGCCACAUUGGGACUGAGAUACGGCCCAGGCUCCUACGGGAGGCAGCAGUGGGGAGUAUUGCGCAAUGGGCGGAAGCCUUAUGCAGCAACGCCGCGUGCGGGAUGACGGCCUUCGGGUUGUAAACCGCUUUCGCCUGUGACGAAGCGUGAGUGACGGUAAUGGGUAAAGAAGCACCGGCUAACUACGUG